GUAUCAGAAGUGCGAAUGCUGACAUAAGUAACGAUAAAGCGGGUGAAAAGCCCGCUCGCCGGAAGACCAAGGGUUCCUGUCCAACGUUAAUCGGGGCAGGGUGAGUCGACCCCUAAGGCGAGGCCGAAAGGCGUAGUCGAUGGGAAACAGGUUAAUAUUCCUGUACUUGGUGUUACUGCGAAGGGGGGACGGAGAAGGCUAUGUCAGCCGGGCGACGGUUGUCCCGGUUUAAGCAUGUAGGCG
RNAcentral lists this ribosomal RNA (243 nucleotides) under Enterobacter hormaechei. RNAcentral's name for it is "partial 23S ribosomal RNA". It matches the Rfam family "Bacterial large subunit ribosomal RNA", at positions 1279 to 1526 of the family's 2925-position model. The record is from RNAcentral. Lineage: Bacteria; Pseudomonadati; Pseudomonadota; Gammaproteobacteria; Enterobacterales; Enterobacteriaceae.